RNAcentral lists this long non-coding RNA (3794 nucleotides) under Glycine max (soybean). RNAcentral describes it as "long non-coding RNA (GMAX_LNC001849)". The record is from RNAcentral. Lineage: Eukaryota; Viridiplantae; Streptophyta; Magnoliopsida; Fabales; Fabaceae.
AUAAUAAGAAGCAGAUAAACAAACAUAUUUGUAUUGUCACUGCUGAGCAAAAAAACAUUUGUUUUGUCCUUGUGUAGUUAGUCAAAGUUUCCAAGUGAGCAAUGGCAUCUUGUCACCAUUGGUUUCCUCAAAACAAUGUUUUUUUAUUUUUUACUUUUCUCUCAGUUUUAUCUGUGAUCACCAUUUUUCCAUAAACUUCUCAGGUGAGGGGCAGAGACACCAUGGUUGCAGAGGUACUAAUUCUGUGCUUUCCUUGUAUUUUUUGCACCAAUAAGAACAAAUGUUUUCUCACAUUGUGCCAACUUUCUCCAUUUUCUUCUGGCAUUCAGCAUCUCUUAUCCCCAUGUGCUACUUUUUCAGCUGGUUUAUCAGUUGUUUCACUGUUUAGUCAGUGAAAGAUUAAGACAUCCUUUGGGGUCUGUUUAAUGCAAUUAGAUCCACAAAUGUCAAUACGUUUGGACUUUUAAGUGUUCAACUGGAAUGAAACUGAAUCUUUGUUCUAUCUUGUUAGAUUAUUACUAUUCUUGAUUGCCAGAUUUUAUGAGAUGUGAAUUGGAAUCCUACUACUAUGUUAGUUCGUUGAUGGUUCAAGGAUUUGACACAAAAUGUACUUGAAGCGAUCCAAAUUGUCUUAGAAUAUGGAUUUGGGCUCAUACUUUAGAAUUCUUGACAUUACCGAACACAGUAGUGACAUUCGAAUCCAAAGAGGUAAUGAUGAUGAUGAUGAUUAGAGGGAGUGAAUACAUCAGAAGCAGCAUAAACCCAUGAAGUAACCACUUGCCUGUAGUUUGUUACCUAAAAGACAAUUAUCAGAAUUUGUUAUUUUCAUUUCCUGCACUAACUAACUGAUCUCUAGUGAGCGGUUAUCAUCACUUGUAAUAAUCUAUAUAUAGAACUAAUACAUUAAUUGAAUAAAGGAAGAGAAGAAUUAUGAAAGUACCUGUUAGUGUAGAGUAACAUAGUAUAGCUUAAUCCCAUUCGUAACACAUGACAUAUAGGAUUAGUUGAUCCUGUCGAAUCCAGUAGUUGUAAUCUUGAUGAUUAGAGACUGGGCACGUGUUGGUGCCAUCGACAAAUCCCAUCAAGUUGUAGUCUACAAGGAGAGCAUUGAUUUGCACUCUCCAGGUCGGGUAAUUCGACCCAGUCAGCUUGAUAGAGGAUUGAGUAUAUUGAGGACAACUAUUGAUUGAGAGUUGUCAAGGGGUAUGAUAACGUUAUUAGCUGAGAAGUCAUGUUUGUGUCUGUUGGAUCAGUGUUGUUAAGCAAAAGUUGCAGAUACCAUGUAAAAAGUUUAGAUAUAGUAGGAUUUCAAUGAUAAUUUAUUCAUGGUGCUAAUGGGGUCAUAUAUAUAUACACUUGAAUGAAAUUGAAAUCAUUUUUAAUUCAUUUGUUUCUAAGUAUGAAGAAUACAUUUGAACUUUAAUUUUACUAUUGUUAUUUUUAAUUCAAAUAAAUUUGUUUUAUCUAGGAUAAUUAGAUAAUCAUUAUUUCUAAUUAUUUAAAAUAAAUUUGAACUUUAAUUUUACUGUUGUUAUUUUUAAUUUAAAUAAAUUCAAAUUGUUGUUACGCACUAAUAAAUCGGUCCAAAGGCAGUUUGGGGGAAAGGAAAGAGAGAGAAGAAAUAUUGAAGCCAGAGAGAAAUAAAAGACAUGUUUCUUGUCUCCAAUACAAGAACCGAAACUUUAGCUUUUGUGCUGUUAGGUUUUGUUGCUGGCUGCUUCUUCAACAUCCUUAGUUCUGUUUUGUAAAAAACAAUGUCUGUACAAAAUAAUAUUCCAAACUGCGACUUAAUAUAGUCUCUUUAGAUGCUUUUCUAUUAUAUUUUCUAUUAAGAUUCAGUUAUGCAUCGAAGAAGUUAGUUACUCAUCUCAAAUUGUUACUAAUAUGUGCUCCCCUUAACUAUUGGCUUUGCCUUGUGAUUUGCAUCUGCAUAGUUUAAUUAGAGGCUUGUAUGAGUCAGUUCAAUGUAGACUCAUUUAAAUGAGAAUCUAUAUCGAUUAAUUUGUUUAAUUUUGUGAACAUAAGUGGAUUAGUGCAUAAUGGACUCGUUGAUUCACACACUAAGUCGCUAACCAAUAGCCAAGCUCUCUCUCUCUCUCUCUUUUUUAUUAUCAUUAUUUAACAUAUUUUACUUAUAUUAUUAAAACUUAUUAAACUAAUAAUUACUUUUAAAUUUUAUCUUUUAUUCACAAAUCAUAACUUUCUCAAUUUUUUUGAACGUUCCUGUUUACAUAGUUUUUUCAAAUUCAAAUCUCAUUACAUGUGCUCUUAAGUUAUUUUUAUAUUAAUUUUUUUUCAAUCACGUAUUCCUAUUCAUUUGCAAUCACAAGUUUUAGGCACCAUGAACUUGGACAUAAUACCUCAAAAAAAAUCCCUAUAAGGUGGAUUACUUGUUUUAUUUUUUGCACUUGAACCGAUAAACGUUCUUUGUUGCUUACUGUUUCUUGAUAACAAAGACACCUAAACAAAGGGCUGUUGUUGACUUGGACACCAAUUACUCAGAACAUCUUCUUGUUUUUGUUCAUUAUUUCUUCCUAACCUCUCUCCCCAACUUAUGUCAUUAAUAUCAUAUAAGCCACCCAAAUAUUUCCUUUUAUGUCUUACAAACACAAACCAUUAGAUGACAUUAAACUAAGCGGCUCCAGUACUGGAAUAGUAUACAGCAGUAUAUACACAAGCUUCUUUUGCCCCUUUGUCUGCUGCUAUUAUUUUUAACUAGGUGUUUACUGUUUAAUUCAUGAGGCUCUAGCACUUAAAUAGUAAACACCAGUAUAAUCAUCUAACACUGCUAGAGUAAAGUAAAACAAACAAAGUAAUAUAAGUAUUCAUAAAAUAAGAUUGUACCUAGUCUAAUCAAAUAAUAAAAAUUAAUUGUAAAGUCAUAUGUGUGUAAUAUUAUUAUUUUUAUAUUAAGUUGUAAGAAGAUGCUUUUUCUAGCCCAAGUUGAAUUUUCUAACAGCAUCGAUCCUGAAGGAUCAAGUUGCAUAAAAUGUUUUGCAGCACCUUAUUUGUUCUAUCUCCUGAACAUAGUGAUGGGGAGAAGGCAAUAUACCAGAAUUACAUCAUGAAGAAACUAUUGCGGCUAAAGUUGAUGUUAUGAUGCCCUUUAAUAUAAUAGAUUUAAACUUGACUUAAACUUAAUAUAAUAUAUAGUCUAAAAAGGACUUUAGACAUUAACAGUCUUAAUUCUUCAAGGAUCAAGGAGGCUUGUUAAUCAUUUAAAAUUGCUGCUGUCCUUGUGAAAGUGUACAAUUGCUGCUGUUCUUGUAUCCAAUUCUUAUGAACAAAUGAUUUUCGGAUAUCAGGUCGUUCCUUUUCAAAUAGUGUCAUCAAUCUUGGCAUCCAGAAUCAAUAUGCAGAUGCCCAAAGCCAACUUGGAUUUUAGUUUCAAGUUUUGACAGAGCAGUGUUAUUAAUGUUUAAUUUAAUCAUUUUGUAUUUUACAGCCUACUAUUGCAGAUUAAUCAUCUCAGAUUGAGCAUUCAAUGUGGUUAUCUUUAUCUCCUUAAUAUACAUGUAUGUCCCAUCACUGACAAGGAAGGAGAUGCAGCCUUAGGAAAUGGUGGCCUUACUCAUCUAUCAGCAUGCAUGGGGGUAUGAUGUGACCUUCUGAUUUGUUGUAAAAAAUUUCUAGUAGGUUUGAAACAUUAAUGUUUUCAGGUUCUUCAAUGAAAAUUCUAAACAAAGAUAUAGGCUGUGAGCUUUAAAGUUGGCCUUAUAAGCUCAAACUUGAGUUUGAUUUUAUGUUCUUAGAGGGGCAGCGCGCAGGUGAUAAAAAACAAUAACUUUCUUUCA